GGGCAUAUGGUGUAGUUGGUUUAUCACGCUCGCUUAGCACGAUCACUUGCGAGAGGUGUCCGGUUCAAUUCCGGAUAUGUCCA
This is a non-coding RNA of Artomyces pyxidatus, 83 nucleotides long. NCBI's taxonomy places the organism in Eukaryota, Fungi, Basidiomycota, Agaricomycetes, Russulales, Auriscalpiaceae. The record is from the annotation of a GenBank genome assembly.